Austrofundulus limnaeus is the source of this 584-nucleotide long non-coding RNA. RefSeq lists it as uncharacterized. The record is from RefSeq and is a predicted model, not a curated record. NCBI's taxonomy places the organism in Eukaryota, Metazoa, Chordata, Actinopteri, Cyprinodontiformes, Rivulidae. The transcript is spliced from 3 exons.
GAAAUGAAUCAUGCCAUUUUGGCCAGUAUUGAAACUCACUUGUCUGAAACUUCUUCCAAGACCUUGCAUGUGAAGGACAUUCUUGAAGAUUUGUCAAAAAAAAAUUGACAGUGGAAUGAACUGCAAAUUUAAUGUCAAUCGUUCUGCAGUUUUAGAUGGUGCCAUACGUGGAUUUAAGAGGGUAACAUACAAUCCACAUUUCUCAAUGAAUGUGAAAUUUUCUGAUGAUUUCGGAAGAAAUGAAGAGGCAGUUGAUUUGGGUGGCCCACGGAGAGAAUUUCUGCGUCUUCUCAUUGAUGCUUUGUCCAUGUCUCCAAUGUUUGAAGGCCCAGAUGAUUGCAAAAAUUUAGCAAUGAAUAGUACAGCCCUCAGGGAGGACAAAUACUUUAUGGCUGGAAGGGCAAUAGCUGUUAGCCUUGUCCAUGGAGGUCCAGCCCCACAUUUCCUUUCUCCAGUCCUUUUCACUUGCUUGGUUGGAGGUCCAAAUGCAGCUUGCCCUACUUUGAAGGACAUCACUGAUGCAGAACUCCAUGAGAAACUGAAAAAAGUUAAUCCACUCACAAAUUAUAUAACUUUUGACUUGA